AUUGAACGCUGGCGGCAGGCCUAACACAUGCAAGUCGAGCGGAUGAAGGGAGCUUGCUCCUGGAUUCAGCGGCGGACGGGUGAGUAAUGCCUAGGAAUCUGCCUGGUAGUGGGGGAUAACGUCCGGAAACGGGCGCUAAUACCGCAUACGUCCUGAGGGAGAAAGUGGGGGAUCUUCGGACCUCACGCUAUCAGAUGAGCCUAGGUCGGAUUAGCUAGUUGGUGGGGUAAAGGCCUACCAAGGCGACGAUCCGUAACUGGUCUGAGAGGAUGAUCAGUCACAGGGGAAGUGAGACACGUACGAAGCCCCCGCGGGAGGGGCAAGGGGGGAAAAUGGAGAAAGGGGGGAGGUCUUGAACAACCAGGCACGCGUGUGUAAAGAGGGUCUUCGGUUUGUAAAGCAUUUUACGUGGGGAGGAAGGCAAAAAAUUUAAUACGUUCCUUUUUUCACUUAAAGACACAAAAAGCCCCGGGCUAACUUGGUG
RNAcentral lists this ribosomal RNA (484 nucleotides) under uncultured bacterium. RNAcentral's name for it is "partial 16S ribosomal RNA". It matches the Rfam family "Bacterial small subunit ribosomal RNA", at positions 30 to 507 of the family's 1533-position model. The record is from RNAcentral.